AUGGAGGGUGAGCCAUUUGAGUUCAAGACAUGGGUGAGAGGUAAACAGAUUUCCUUCUCAAGAAAUGCAAUAAGUAAUUACCUUGGUAACCCUCUUCCCAUGGAAAAUGGCGAUCUUUGUGAAUACUAUAAGACGGUGAACAGAGGAAAAUGGAAUUUUAGGUUUGUUAAGGACAUGUUGGUGAUUUCUGGAAGGAGUUAUGAAUUAAAUAUUGCGGGGCAACCAUUGUAG
Molecule: non-coding RNA, 231 nt
Organism: Vicia faba (fava bean)
Lineage: Eukaryota; Viridiplantae; Streptophyta; Magnoliopsida; Fabales; Fabaceae
Source: the annotation of a GenBank genome assembly